AGAGUUUGAUCCUGGCUCAGGAUGAACGCUGGCGGCGUGCCUAAUACAUGCAAGUCGUGCGAGAGCACCUUGAAGGACAACCUACGGUUUUCCUUCAACGACUGUCAGCAAAGCUGACCUUUACCUUCGGUUCAGGCAAGCAGUCUGCUACCUUUCCCUUUUUUGGGGGGGAAGCAGAAAAGCUUGUCCGAGCGAAGCAAGGAUCGGCUUAGCCGACUUUUCGUUGAAGGGGGGUGUCCCCCCCCUUCAAGAUGCGAAAGCGGCGGACGGGUGAGUAUCGCGUGGGAACGUACCCCAGACUGAGGGAUAAGCACCAGAAAUGGUGUCUAAUACCGCAUAACCUCUACGGAGAAAAACUUUCGAGUGGUUUGGGAACGGCCUGCGUCCGAUUAGCUAGUUGGUAGGGUAAUGGCCUACCAAGGCGAUGAUCGGUAGCUGGUCUGAGAGGAUGAUCAGCCACACUGGAACUGAGACACGGUCCAGACUCCUACGGGAGGCAGCAGUAGGGAAUCUUCCACAAUGGGCGAAAGCCUGAUGGAGCAACGCCGCGUGCAGGAUGAAGGCUUUCGGGUCGUAAACUGCUUUUAUGGGUGAAGAUUAUGACGGUAACCCAUGAAUAAGGAUCGGCUAAUUCCGUGCCAGCAGCCGCGGUCAUACGGAAGAUCCAAGCGUUAUCCGGAAUUACUGGGCGUAAAGAGAUGCGUAGGUGGUAAAUUAAGCGAAUGAUGAAAUCAUCCGGCUCAACCGGGUGCCUGUUAUUCGAACUGGUUAACUAGAGUACGAGAGAGGAAGCUGGAAUUCCUGGUGUAGGAGUGAAAUCCGUAGAUAUCAGGAGGAACACCAAUGGCGAAGGCAGGCUUCUGGCUCGUUACUGACACUGAGGCUCGAAAGCGUGGGGAGCGAACGGGAUUAGAUACCCCGGUAGUCCACGCCGUAAACGAUGGAUGCUAGCUGUUCGAGGUAUCGACCCCUGGAGUAGCGAAGCUAACGCGUUAAGCAUCCCGCCUGGGGAGUACGGUCGCAAGACUAAAACUCAAAGGAAUUGACGGG
This 1050-nucleotide ribosomal RNA is filed under the name uncultured bacterium. RNAcentral describes it as "bacterial SSU rRNA". It matches the Rfam family "Bacterial small subunit ribosomal RNA", at positions 8 to 917 of the family's 1533-position model. The record is from RNAcentral.